GAAUAUUGCGCAAUGGGCGACAGCCUGACGCAGCGACGCCGCGUGGGGGAUGAAGGUCUUCGGAUUGUAAACCCCUUUCGGCAAGGAAGAUGGAACGGGUAACCGUUCGGACGGUACCUGCAGAAGCCGCCACGGCUAACUUCGUGCCAGCAGCCGCGGUAAUACGAAGGUGGCAAGCGUUGUUCGGAUUUACUGGGCGUACAGGGAGCGUAGGCGGUUAGGUAAGCCCUUCGUGAAAUCUCCGGGCCUAACCCGGAAAGGGCGGAGGGGACUGCUUGGCUAGAGGAUGGGAGAGGAGCGCGGAAUUCCCGGUGUAGCGGUGAAAUGCGUAGAGAUCGGGAGGAAGGCCGGUGGCGAAGGCGGCGCUCUGGAACAUUUCUGACGCUGAGGCUCGAAAGCGUGGGGAGCAAACAGG
This 415-nucleotide ribosomal RNA is filed under the name uncultured bacterium. RNAcentral describes it as "bacterial SSU rRNA". It matches the Rfam family "Bacterial small subunit ribosomal RNA", at positions 359 to 776 of the family's 1533-position model. The record is from RNAcentral.